UACGUAGGGUGCGAGCGUUAUUCGGAAUUACUGGGCGUAAAGCGUGCGCAGGCGGGCUUUUAAGCCAGACGUGAAAUCCCCGGGCUUAACCUGGGAAUGGCGUUUGGGACUGGAAGUCUGGAGUGCGGCAGAGGAGACUGGAAUUCCUGGUGUAGCAGUGAAAUGCGUAGAUAUCAGGAGGAACACCGAUGGCGAAGGCAGGUCUCUGGGCUGACACUGACGCUCAUGCACGAAAGCGUGGGGAGCAAACAGG
Molecule: ribosomal RNA, 253 nt
Filed under: uncultured bacterium
Lineage: Bacteria
Description: partial 16S ribosomal RNA
Rfam family: Bacterial small subunit ribosomal RNA
Source: RNAcentral